GACGAACGCUGGCGGCGUGCUUAACACAUGCAAGUCGAGCGGUAAGGCCUUUCGGGGUACACGAGCGGCGAACGGGUGAGUAACACGUGGGUGAUCUGCCCUGCACUUCGGGAUAAGCCUGGGAAACUGGGUCUAAUACCGGAUAUGACCUCCUAUCGCAUGGUGGGUGGUGGAAAGAUUUAUCGGUGCAGGAUGGGCCCGCGGCCUAUCAGCUUGUUGGUGGGGUAAUGGCCUACCAAGGCGACGACGGGUAGCCGACCUGAGAGGGUGACCGGCCACACUGGGACUGAGACACGGCCCAGACUCCUACGGGAGGCAGCAGUGGGGAAUAUUGCACAAUGGGCGAAAGCCUGAUGCAGCGACGCCGUGUGAGGGAUGACGGCCUUCGGGUUGUAAACCUCUUUCAGCAGGGACGAAGCGCAAGUGACGGUACCUGCAGAAGAAGCACCGGCUAACUACGUG
This 462-nucleotide ribosomal RNA is filed under the name uncultured bacterium. RNAcentral's name for it is "partial 16S ribosomal RNA". It matches the Rfam family "Bacterial small subunit ribosomal RNA", at positions 28 to 507 of the family's 1533-position model. The record is from RNAcentral.